AAAGGGUGACACCGGCUACGGAUGGCCAUGCGGCGCAUUAGCUGGUUGGCGGGGUAACGGCCCACCAAGGCGACGAUGCGUAGGGGUUCUGAGAGGAAGGUCCCCCACACUGGUACUGAGACACGGACCAGACUCCUACGGGAGGCAGCAGUGAGGAAUAUUGGUCAAUGGGCGCGAGCCUGAACCAGCCAAGUCGCGUGAGGGAAGACGGUCCUAUGGAUUGUAAACCUCUUUUGUCGGGGAGCAAAAGACGCCACGCGUGGCGUUCCGAGAGUACCCGAAGAAAAAGCAUCGGCUAACUCCGUGCCAGCAGCCGCGGUAAUACGGAGGAUGCGAGCGUUAUCCGGAUUUAUUGGGUUUAAAGGGUGCGCAGGCGGAAGAUCAAGUCAGCGGUAAAAUUGAGAGGCUCAACCUCUUCGAGCCGUUGAAACUGGUUUUCUUGAGUGAGCGAGAAGUAUGCGGAAUGCGUGGUGUAGCGGUGAAAUGCAUAGAUAUCACGCAGAACUCCGAUUGCGAAGGCAGCAUACCGGCGCUCAACUGACGCUCAUGCACGAAAGUGUGGGUAUCGAACAGGAUUAGAUACCCUGGUAGUCCACACAGUAAACGAUGAAUACUAAUUGUUCGGGGAGAAUGAUC
This 636-nucleotide ribosomal RNA is filed under the name uncultured bacterium. RNAcentral describes it as "bacterial SSU rRNA". It matches the Rfam family "Bacterial small subunit ribosomal RNA", at positions 202 to 837 of the family's 1533-position model. The record is from RNAcentral.